CUUUCGCUCUGAUUUGGCCAUAGGUGGGUUUAGAAUCAAAUUCUAAGCAAACGAUAGAAUUUUUACCUCGUUUGGCGGCCAGAAAUUGCUCUGGUACGGCGGCAGGUGGCGGCGGACGGCUCCCUGGUAGCUGGGCUGUCUUCUCCAGCGAGGGGCUCUGGCGGCUAGGGUUAGGGUUUGGGUGCGGAUGAGGUUAUUUAUAUCCAUAUGCUUUUGAUCUGAGCCGUCCAUUGUUUUUAAUCUGGACCGUCCGAUCGCGAUUAAAUAGGGAAUGGAUCUAGGUCGUUUAAUCACGAUUUAAUCUAGACCGUCCGUACGC
This 319-nucleotide long non-coding RNA is filed under the name Carica papaya (papaya). RNAcentral describes it as "long non-coding RNA (CPAP_LNC001552)". The record is from RNAcentral. Lineage: Eukaryota; Viridiplantae; Streptophyta; Magnoliopsida; Brassicales; Caricaceae.